GUUACUACUGCUAGUGAUGCUAAGAGCACUACAUACAAGAAGAAUAGAUACUAACAGUAACUAUGUAUGAUGAAUUACAUUCCAUUGUUAGGUUAAUGACACUAAGAGGAUAAAGUACAAUUCUCUGCUAUUGAAGACUACAUUGAGAAGUUAAUUGUUUGCUGUUUGAAGCUGUACAUUAACUGAAGACUAUAAAGAAUUACACAACAUUAUUGUUUAUAAUUUUUAGCAUUUUUGUUUAAUACACAAAGUUGUCCUUUUAUCAUUGAUUAUUAUGAA
This 279-nucleotide long non-coding RNA is filed under the name Amphimedon queenslandica. RNAcentral's name for it is "uncharacterized LOC109582318, transcript variant X1". The record is from RNAcentral. Lineage: Eukaryota; Metazoa; Porifera; Demospongiae; Haplosclerida; Niphatidae.